GACGAACGCUGGCGGCGUGCCUAAUACAUGCAAGUCGUGCGGACCUUUUAAAAGCUUGCUUUUAAAAGGUUAGCGGCGGACGGGUGAGUAACACGUGGGCAACCUGCCUGUAAGACUGGGAUAACGCCGGGAAACCGGGGCUAAUACCGGAUAGUUUUUUCCUCGGCAUGGAGGAAAAAGGAAAGGCGGCUUCGGCUGCCACUUACAGAUGGGCCCGCGGCGCAUUAGCUAGUCGGCGGGGUAACGGCCCACCAAGGCAACGAUGCGUAGCCGACCUGAGAGGGUGAUCGGCCACAUUGGGACUGAGACACGGCCCAAACUCCUACGGGAGGCAGCAGUAGGGAAUCUUCCGCAAUGGACGAAAGUCUGACGGAGCAACGCCGCGUGAGUGAAGAAGGCCUUCGGGUCGUAAAACUCUGUUGCCGGGGAAGAACAAGUGCCGUUCGAACAGGGCGGCGCCUUGACGGUACCCGGCCAGAAAGCCACGGCUAACUAC
This 496-nucleotide ribosomal RNA is filed under the name uncultured bacterium. Its description in RNAcentral is "bacterial SSU rRNA". It matches the Rfam family "Bacterial small subunit ribosomal RNA", at positions 28 to 504 of the family's 1533-position model. The record is from RNAcentral.